Aquila chrysaetos chrysaetos is the source of this 1069-nucleotide long non-coding RNA. RefSeq lists it as uncharacterized. The transcript has 3 exons. NCBI's taxonomy places the organism in Eukaryota, Metazoa, Chordata, Aves, Accipitriformes, Accipitridae. The record is from RefSeq and is a predicted model, not a curated record.
CAACUACUGUGUUGAAGGAGUAACAUAAAUUCCACACUAACACUGUUUGAAUCCUGCAAAGUCCAAAUCUAAGAGAGAUAUCCAGGAACUCCUUACUGUGACCGAACAGCACCAUCACCUCUUGUAGCCACAAAAUGAAGAUGCUGUGACCACAGCGCAGCUACGCAGCAGCAAGACCAAAGUUGUACCUUAAACCUAUAUACAUAGAAAAGCAACAGUAACUAGAGAUACAAACCCAAUGGUUUCAUCAGCUCCUACAUAAUGUGUGUGCACAGGAACUGUCUAGCUUCCUUUAAGUUCUUUCAGCCACAUCCAAUAAAGGAAGAAAAUUAGGUACUUAGAGAAACAGCUGCUCAUGUAUCAAGGACUCCUUUCCAUAAACCAGGCUGGACAGUUCCCCGACACAUGCCAUCUUUGACAGACCAAUCCCAAAAGCACGGUUACCAAAACAGGAGCAUGUUAUACCUCUAUUAGAUUACUAUUUUUUUUUUUUUAAAUAUCUGUAUGUUCAUUAACACCAGAUUACUAGGUACUCACACAAAGCAGGGGCCCACUGGGGUACUGACGAAAUUGUACGUUCAGGGUUAACAAUUCAACACAGAAAUCAUUCCUGGCUCCUUCACAGAUUUCAGCAGCCAAAGCAGAUCAGAUUAGUUCUGCUCUGCCAACAGGAGUAAUUAUCACUAUAUGCAGUAAAAAAUAGCUGGAAGGAUUUCUAAGUGAAUGAAGUACAGACCCACUGAGGAAGUCUUAAUUCAACAUCUAUUAAUGUCUUUUCCUAAGCCAGCAAGAAGGAAAAGAGCAAUACAGAGUCAAGAAUAGAAGUUUUAACAUUUCUGUUGUUCCUAUGCAUGCCACUUUUCUUGUGAAGAUCUUUAAAUCGGAGCCUUACUGAGGGUAGGCAAUGCAAAAGGACCAUAAGGAAUUUAAAGACCAAGGCAAUGCGCAAGGAUGAGUGCUCCUAUUUUCAGUAAGCAAUGAAAGCUACAAGGCUGUCUCCAGAGACUUUUUUGGUUUUGUGUCAAAACACAAGUAAGCAUUAUUCUUUUUCUCACUCUUAGAUAAAACA